Molecule: unclassified non-coding RNA, 424 nt
Filed under: Hevea brasiliensis (rubber tree)
Lineage: Eukaryota; Viridiplantae; Streptophyta; Magnoliopsida; Malpighiales; Euphorbiaceae
Source: RNAcentral
AAGAAGUUUGUAAUAAGCCUCCACACCUGAAAGCGUGAGAAUACAAGUUUAUAUAUCAAAGCGAUAUGCACCACAUCGAAUACACCAAGCUGAUAAGCUGCAGUGAAAAGAAGGCACAGAGUCCCAUAAGCCUUGCUUAUAGGUGGAAGAGACUGAUAGUAUUCGGCAGGGGAAGACAUUGAAGACAAGGUAAGCUAAAUUGAGAUGGAGAAAAUGGCUCCUUGGACUAAAAAUUUCGAAAAUGAUAGUUGUGAUUUGUGAAAAUUCUAAGCCGUUUUAAGUCGAAUAUUCUGAAAUCUAUGAAGAGAUUGGUACGAUCCAGAAGGUUCCUGGCUCUUCCUAGCUUUCGUGCUCGGUUGGUCUCUAUCGUUUCGCUCGAAUUUGGCCAGCAAUGGAGGCAUAACACAGUUGGACUCAGCCUCUG